Molecule: ribosomal RNA, 720 nt
Filed under: Stenotrophomonas geniculata
Lineage: Bacteria; Pseudomonadati; Pseudomonadota; Gammaproteobacteria; Lysobacterales; Lysobacteraceae
Description: bacterial SSU rRNA
Rfam family: Bacterial small subunit ribosomal RNA
Source: RNAcentral
CCUGGCUCAGAGUGAACGCUGGCGGUAGGCCUAACACAUGCAAGUCGAACGGCAGCACAGAGGAGCUUGCUCCUUGGGUGGCGAGUGGCGGACGGGUGAGGAAUACAUCGGAAUCUACUCUGUCGUGGGGGAUAACGUAGGGAAACUUACGCUAAUACCGCAUACGACCUACGGGUGAAAGCAGGGGAUCUUCGGACCUUGCGCGAUUGAAUGAGCCGAUGUCGGAUUAGCUAGUUGGCGGGGUAAAGGCCCACCAAGGCGACGAUCCGUAGCUGGUCUGAGAGGAUGAUCAGCCACACUGGAACUGAGACACGGUCCAGACUCCUACGGGAGGCAGCAGUGGGGAAUAUUGGACAAUGGGCGCAAGCCUGAUCCAGCCAUACCGCGUGGGUGAAGAAGGCCUUCGGGUUGUAAAGCCCUUUUGUUGGGAAAGAAAUCCAGCUGGCUAAUACCCGGUUGGGAUGACGGUACCCAAAGAAUAAGCACCGGCUAACUUCGUGCCAGCAGCCGCGGUAAUACGAAGGGUGCAAGCGUUACUCGGAAUUACUGGGCGUAAAGCGUGCGUAGGUGGUCGUUUAAGUCCGUUGUGAAAGCCCUGGGCUCAACCUGGGAACUGCAGUGGAUACUGGGCGACUAGAGUGUGGUAGAGGGUAGCGGAAUUCCUGGUGUAGCAGUGAAAUGCGUAGAGAUCAGGAGGAACAUCCAUGGCGAAGGCAGCUA